Molecule: non-coding RNA, 27 nt
Filed under: Homo sapiens (human)
Lineage: Eukaryota; Metazoa; Chordata; Mammalia; Primates; Hominidae
Source: RNAcentral
UCCAUGUUGCUUCUCCCUCACCUCCGU